This 542-nucleotide ribosomal RNA is filed under the name uncultured archaeon. RNAcentral describes it as "bacterial SSU rRNA". It matches the Rfam family "Archaeal small subunit ribosomal RNA", at positions 303 to 837 of the family's 1478-position model. The record is from RNAcentral.
CCCCGCNCCCGUCCCGCCGCCCCCGCCCGACGGGGUGCAGCAGGCGCGAAACCUUUACACUGCACGACAGUGCGAUAGGGGGAUCCCAAGUGCACAGGCAUAGCGCCUGUGCUUUUNGGNACCCUAAGGCGGUACCAGAAUAAGGGCUGGGCAAGACCGGUGCCAGCCGCCGCGGUAAUACCGGCAGCCCAAGUGAUGGCCGAUCUUAUUGGGCCUAAAGCGUCCGUAGCUGGCCGCGCAAGUCCAUCGGGAAAUCCACCUGCUCAACAGGUGGGCGCCCGGUAGAAACUGCGUGGCUUGGGACCGGAAGGCGCGACGGGUACGUCCGGGGUAGGAGUGAAAUCCCGUAAUCCUGGACGGACCGCCGAUGGCGAAAGCACGUCGCGAGAACGGAUCCGACAGUGAGGGACGAAAGCCAGGGUCUCGAACCGGAUUAGAUACCCGGGUAGUCCUGGCCGUAAACAAUGUCUGCUAGGUGUGGCUCCCACUACGAGUGGGUGCUGUGCCGUAGGGAAGCCGCUAAGCAGACCGCCNGGAANGNU